RNAcentral lists this ribosomal RNA (615 nucleotides) under Campylospora brasiliensis. RNAcentral describes it as "eukaryotic LSU rRNA". Lineage: Eukaryota; Fungi; Ascomycota; Sordariomycetes. The record is from RNAcentral.
UUCGUAACMMAARGUUCCGUAGGUGAACCAGCGGAGGGAUCAUUAUUGAGUUGCAAAACUCUCAACCCUUAUGUGAACCUACCAGUUGGCAUGUUCCAAGUUGCUUCGGCGGGCAGUUCCUUCGGGGACCGCUUGUUGCCUAUGUACGUAGGUGUCCGCCGGCGGCUUGAAAUAUAAAAUUCUUUGUUUUUUAGUGGUAUUACUUCUGAGUCAUAUACAAAAUAAGUUAAAACUUUCAGCAACGGAUCUCUUGGUUCUGGCAUCGAUGAAGAACGCAGCGAAAUGCGAUAAGUAAUGUGAAUUGCAGAAUUCAGUGAAUCAUCGAAUCUUUGAACGCACAUUGCGCCCGCUAGUAUUCUAGCAGGCAUGCCUGUUCGAGCGUCAUUUCAACCCUCAAGCUCUGCUUGGUGUUGGGGACCCGCCGACCUCUUCGGAGAGGCGUUCCCCCAAAGAUAGUGGCGGACCCGCUGGUGUCUUUCCCCUUGCGUAGUAGUUUCUCUAACGAGCCUCGCACUGGGACCCGGUGGUGUUCUAGCCGUUAAACCCCUAUAUUUCAAUGGUUGACCUCGGAUCAGGUAGRAAUACCCGCUGAACUUAAGCAUAUCAAUAAGCGGA